UACGUAGGGUGCGAGCGUUAAUCGGAAUUACUGGGCGUAAAGCGUGCGCAGGCGGUUUUGUAAGUCAGAUGUGAAAGCCCCGGGCUCAACCCGGGAACUGCGUCCGAUACUGGAAGGCUUGAAUCCGGGAGAGGGAUGUGGAAUUCCAGGUGUAGCGGUGAAAUGCGUAGAUAUCUGGAGGAACACCGGUGGCGAAGGCGACAUCCUGGACCGGUAUUGACGCUGAGGCGCGAAAGCCAGGGGAGCAAACGGG
Molecule: ribosomal RNA, 253 nt
Filed under: uncultured bacterium
Lineage: Bacteria
Description: partial 16S ribosomal RNA
Rfam family: Bacterial small subunit ribosomal RNA
Source: RNAcentral